Molecule: signal recognition particle RNA, 165 nt
Filed under: Lachnospiraceae bacterium
Lineage: Bacteria; Bacillati; Bacillota; Clostridia; Lachnospirales; Lachnospiraceae
Description: partial signal recognition particle sRNA large type
Rfam family: Bacterial large signal recognition particle RNA
About the family: The signal recognition particle (SRP) is a universally conserved ribonucleoprotein involved in the co-translational targeting of proteins to membranes. Archaeal SRP consists of a 7S RNA and homologues of the eukaryotic SRP19 and SRP54 proteins. In most bacteria, the SRP consists of a 4.5S RNA and the Ffh protein (a homologue of the eukaryotic SRP54 protein).
Source: RNAcentral
UAAGUGGCGUUGACGUUUGGGUCUUACGCAACAGGAAUUUACGAACCGGGUCAGGUCAGGAAUGGAGCAGCCCUAAGUAAAAGCUCUUGUGUGCCGUGAGGGUGCCUGGACCGAGUUAACUGUGGAGGUAACGUCCGUGGACUGGACUCGAAGGGCGAUGCUCGG